Molecule: ribosomal RNA, 488 nt
Filed under: uncultured bacterium
Lineage: Bacteria
Description: partial 16S ribosomal RNA
Rfam family: Bacterial small subunit ribosomal RNA
Source: RNAcentral
GACGAACGCUGGCGGCGUGCUUAACACAUGCAAGUCGAACGCGCCUGUCCUCUGGGUUUCUGGGGGGUGGGUGAGUGGCGAACGGGUGAGUAACACGUGAGUAACCUGCCCCCUUCUUCGGGAUAACGGUCUGAAAGGGCUGCUAAUACCGGGUAUUCACUGGUCUCCGCAUGGGGUCUGGUGGAAAGGUUUUUUUCUGGUGGGGGAUGGGCUCGCGGCCUAUCAGCUUGUUGGUGGGGUGAUGGCCCACCAAGGCUUUGACGGGUAGCCGGCCUGAGAGGGUGACCGGUCACAUUGGGACUGAGAUACGGCCCAGACUCCUACGGGAGGCAGCAGUGGGGAAUAUUGCACAAUGGGCGCAAGCCUGAUGCAGCGACGCCGCGUGAGGGAUGGAGGCCUUCGGGCUGUGAACCUCUUUCGCCCGUGGUCAAGCCGCGACGUGGGUCGUGGCGAGGGUAGUGGGUAAAGAAGCGCCGGCUAACUACGUG